This is a long non-coding RNA of Dicentrarchus labrax (European seabass), 240 nucleotides long. RefSeq lists it as uncharacterized. The record is from RefSeq and is a predicted model, not a curated record. Lineage: Eukaryota; Metazoa; Chordata; Actinopteri; Moronidae. The transcript has 3 exons.
UGAUGGAGCAGCAGGUGUAUCCUGGUCCAUCAUCACAGCGGCCUCAUUGACCUCAGAGGGGGCGGGGUGAGAUGGUGCAAGGUCAGAGGGGGCGGGGUGAGAUGGUGCAAGGUCAGAGGGGGGUGGGGUCAGAUGGUGCAGCAUCAGAGGGGGCGGGGUCAGAUGGUGCAGCAUCAGAGGGGGCGGGGGCGGGGUCAGAUGGUGCAGCAUCAGAGGGGGCGGGGUCAGAUGGUGCAGGGU